UUGAACGCUGGCGGCAUGCCUUACACAUGCAAGUCGAACGGCAGCGCGGGGCAACCUGGCGGCGAGUGGCGAACGGGUGAGUAAUAUAUCGGAACGUACCCUAGAGUGGGGGAUAACGUAGCGAAAGUUACGCUAAUACCGCAUACGAUCUACGGAUGAAAGCGGGGGAUUCGCAAGAACCUCGCGCUCAUGGAGCGGCCGAUAUCUGAUUAGCUAGUUGGUAGGGUAAAAGCCUACCAAGGCGACGAUCAGUAGCUGGUCUGAGAGGACGACCAGCCACACUGGGACUGAGACACGGCCCAGACUCCUACGGGAGGCAGCAGUGGGGAAUUUUGGACAAUGGGCGAAAGCCUGAUCCAGCAAUGCCGCGUGCAGGAAGAAGGCCUUCGGGUUGUAAACUGCUUUUGUACGGAGCGAAAAGGCUCUCUCUAAUACAGGGGGCUCAUGACGGUACCGUAAGAAUAAGCACCGGCUAACUACGU
RNAcentral lists this ribosomal RNA (482 nucleotides) under uncultured bacterium. Its description in RNAcentral is "bacterial SSU rRNA". It matches the Rfam family "Bacterial small subunit ribosomal RNA", at positions 30 to 506 of the family's 1533-position model. The record is from RNAcentral.